UAGGGAAUCUUCCGCAAUGGACGAAAGUCUGACGGAGCAACGCCGCGUGAGUGAUGAAGGCUUUCGGGUCGUAAAACUCUGUUGUUAGGGAAGAACAAGUGCUAGUUGAAUAAGCUGGCACCUUGACGGUACCUAACCAGAAAGCCACGGCUAACUACGUGCCAGCAGCCGCGGUAAUACGUAGGUGGCAAGCGUUAUCCGGAAUUAUUGGGCGUAAAGCGCGCGCAGGUGGUUUCUUAAGUCUGAUGUGAAAGCCCACGGCUCAACCGUGGAGGGUCAUUGGAAACUGGGAGACUUGAGUGCAGAAGAGGAAAGUGGAAUUCCAUGUGUAGCGGUGAAAUGCGUAGAGAUAUGGAGGAACACCAGUGGCGAAGGCGACUUUCUGGUCUGUAACUGACACUGAGGCGCUAAAGCGUGGGGAGCAAACAGG
This 430-nucleotide ribosomal RNA is filed under the name Fusobacteriota bacterium. RNAcentral's name for it is "Fusobacteria bacterium partial 16S ribosomal RNA". It matches the Rfam family "Bacterial small subunit ribosomal RNA", at positions 355 to 776 of the family's 1533-position model. Lineage: Bacteria; Fusobacteriati; Fusobacteriota. The record is from RNAcentral.